Labrus bergylta (ballan wrasse) is the source of this 554-nucleotide non-coding RNA. Lineage: Eukaryota; Metazoa; Chordata; Actinopteri; Labriformes; Labridae. The record is from RefSeq and is a predicted model, not a curated record.
UCACAGCGUCUGCUUCCUUUAAUGGAAACAUCUACAUGGGUGUGAUGUCAGUGAGACCUGUGUCUCUGUCUUCACAUCUCAGACCUCGUCACUCAUGGAGGGCCGUCACGUUGUUCUGCUCCUGGUCUCAGCAGUGGUUUCCUAAAGAUCAGACUGAGUUUGUGGAUCAGAGUUGAAGGUGACGGUCAGACCAGGAGACAACAUCACUCUCUACUGUGACUGUAAAACAUCAACUGGAGUUUACAUCGUGUGGUACAGGAACUGUUCUCAUGAGAACCAGCCUUCACUCGUUCUGAAACGUAACACGGGUUCCUGGACAGAAAAUCUUCCUCCUAAUUUCCACUUUGUGAAGAACCAGUCCUCUGACUCCUACGACCUGCUGAUCCUGAACAUCACUGAGUCAGAUGAAGGUCUUUACUACUGUGGAACUGAAGAAUAAAAAGUGGAGGAUAAGGAACACAUAACUUCUAGAUAUAUUUACUACAGCUACAGCAACAUCACAAGAAGAAUCAUAUUCAAUGCAGAACCGAAUGAGACUCCUCCCCCCAAGAUGC